UUAACUGAAGCUAAAAAGAAGCAAUUUACUGUUAAUAAAAAGAAUGAAUUUAUAUAAUCCAGUUAAA
RNAcentral lists this transfer RNA (67 nucleotides) under Bambusiphaga citricolorata. RNAcentral describes it as "tRNA-Asn". Lineage: Eukaryota; Metazoa; Arthropoda; Insecta; Hemiptera; Delphacidae. The record is from RNAcentral.